GAGUGAUCGAAAGAUGAAAAGCACUUUGAAAAGAGAGUUAAACAGCACGUGAAAUUGUUGAAAGGGAAGCGUUUGCGACCAGACUCGCCCGCGGGGUUCAGCCGGCAUUCGUGCCGGUGUACUUCCCCGUGGGCGGGCCAGCGUCGGUUUGGGCGGCCGGUCAAAGGCCCUCGGAAUGUAUCACCCCCCGGGGUGUCUUAUAGCCGAGGGUGCAAUGCGGCCUGCCCGGACCGAGG
This 236-nucleotide ribosomal RNA is filed under the name Aspergillus fischeri var. fischeri. RNAcentral's name for it is "partial large subunit ribosomal RNA". It matches the Rfam family "Eukaryotic large subunit ribosomal RNA", at positions 351 to 594 of the family's 3401-position model. The record is from RNAcentral. Lineage: Eukaryota; Fungi; Ascomycota; Eurotiomycetes; Eurotiales; Aspergillaceae.